This 770-nucleotide long non-coding RNA is filed under the name Equus caballus (horse). Its description in RNAcentral is "lncRNA (ENSECAG00000044048.1)". Lineage: Eukaryota; Metazoa; Chordata; Mammalia; Perissodactyla; Equidae. The record is from RNAcentral.
CUCAGACGCCCGGCCGCUGCACUCCCAGCGGGAGAAGCCCCCUGAAGCCCGUCGAGUUUCAGAGCCCACAAAGGGAUGGAGAAAUUGUAACUCAGAUACUCCAAUUCGACUCAAUUCAACAAACACUGAGCACCUAUGAUGUGCAAGAAGUUGGCAGUCUGCAACCCGGAAGAGGACUCUCACCAGAACCCGACGAUGCCGGCACGGUGAUCUUGGACUUCCAGCCUCCAGAACCGACCACAAGAUCUGGUUACAUUCUGGGAGAAAGGAUAUUUCCAUCUAUAUUUAGAGGGUGGGAAAAAAUACCUACUGACAGAGAAAAAUCAUCAAUGAAAUAUUUCAAGAAAAUUUCCCAGAGCUGAAGGAAAAGUUUCCACAUCAAAAGGGACCACUCCAGCACAGUGCAUGGAAAGAGACCCACAGCAAGCUGGUGCUCUAGCACAUUGUGGGGACAUCUGGCCACCCUGAGUGGAGAGGGCUCUCGGGGACGUGCGAGCCGAGCUGAGGAAGAGGCCGAGGGGCUGCAGGCAACACCAAACACGACGUUCUCUGCUCUUUAGAAGACCUCACAGACUCCUUGAAACCCAUCCAGGGACCACAAGUUAAGAACAACAAACACUAGCGAAAACUCUUUCUCCCAUGGAAAAAGCACCACAAAUCAUUUGAAUCGAGUCCUUGCAAGAAAAAAACAUGAAAAAGAUGUUUGGUAAUCUUGAUUUUAAUUAAAAAAUUAAACUUUAUAUUAAAAAGUUAAUCUUGUUAAAAAGUUC